AGUACAGUGGCCCAGGGCAGACUAGCUGGAAUCAGCCUCCCGGGUGGGUUUCGAGGCGUUUCCAGGGUCAGGGGUCAAGUAGGGGCAUGUUCCCGGGACACUGCUUCUUUCUGCCAGAAGGACGAAGAAUCUGGAGAGUGCAAUAUUUGGAUCUGGUCCUGCUGAUGUGUUUCUGUGCUACAGAAACCUUCUCCACCCCUCUUCUACCCAACAGCUAGAGGACAUGGGGUCCGGAAGUGCAUGUGGCUGGAGCCAGUGUGGUCGCUGUCGUGAUGGCCGAGUCCAGAUGAGCUGCCGCUGGGGAAACACAGGGUACCUGAGGUCUGAGGUCGGGACGUCUUUGUCCAACCACUAAGAGUCCACAUUCUCCUUUGGAGCCGGGUCUCCGUUUUCUCCAGCAUCAUGGGCCCCUCAAGGAAGCUGAUGCAUGCCACAGGCUGUCUUCUCAGAAAAGGUACCCAAGAACACAUUUUGGGUUUGCAUGUGGAUUGGGAAGCCCAACGUGGCCUCCAGCGGUGCUCCUUGGCUUUGUCUAGACUGCAGGAUCCCACCCAUGCCCUGUGGAUUUGCCACGUGGACACUGACGUGAGCAAAUGGACAAUUCAACAUCAGUGGCAGAAAGGAGCUCAGUCUGGUUCACACGUGGAAGGCAGCACAUUCUGAAAGAGAAUCACUUGAACCCAGGAGGCGAAGGUUGCAUUGAGCCAAGAUUGUGCUAUUGCACUCCAGCCUGGACAACAGAGCAAGACUCUGUCUCUCAAAAAAAGAAAAAGAAAAGCGACGACAUUCAGUCAAUCAGCCAGAUAUUUUUGGUGAUGCUGCAACUCUUAAUGGUAUCCUGUCUGGAUUCUGUUUAUUUAGUUCCUAAGUUGGUAAAUACAGUGCCUGUUAAUCAUUAACCUUUGCCUUGUCAUUGACAAAGAGUUCACUUGUCAAGCUGUGAGUGGAACACAGAAUUGUGAGGCCUAUGGAAUUCAAGCAUUGAUCUUGAUAUUAUGGAUGAGGACAAAAAGGGUGGGUGACUUGAAGCUGUUUUCUUCCCAGAAUUUGAGCUUUGUGAUCAUUGAAUCAGGACUUGAAUCGACACUCCUUGGCUCCCUAGUCCUUUUUCUGCUUUUCCUUUGGUGGUGAUUGGAGGCUGUAGUAGGCUGUUCUUCUGUUGCUAUAAAGAGAUACCUGAGGCUGGGCAAUUUAUAAGCAAAAGAGGUUUGAUUGGCUCCCAGUUCUGUGGGCUUUACAGGAAGCCUGGUGCCGGCAUCUGCUUGGCUCUUGGGGAGGCCUCGAGAAGCCUCCAAUCAUGGUGGAAGGCAACGGAGAAGCAGGAGGGUAGAGAGAUGCCACGUGCUUUUAAACAACCAGAUCUUGCGAGAACUCACUAUCUCAAGGAGAGCACCAAGCCAUUUAGGAGGCAUCUGCCUGGUGACCCAAACACCUCCCACCAGCCCCACCUCCAACAUUGCGAAUGACAUUUCAACGUGAGAUGUGGAGGGGACAUCCAGACUGUAUCAGAAACCAAGAGAUAACAACUUAGUAGACAUAUUCCAAAAAAUUAUGACCCACAGGGUGCCGAUCAGUGUGCAGAGAAUGUCUUCAUUUACACACAAAAAGACACAGACAAGACACUCAGCAGAGGUUCUCAGAGGGGCUAAGUGCGGAAGGCUUCGUGUGUUCAUUUUUAUUCUUUGGGGCUGAAAGAAUGCUUUAUACCAUGAGCUGUGCUUCUUUUAAAAUAGAAAUAAAAUGCUUAGUUAGUC
Long non-coding RNA from Homo sapiens (human), 1754 nucleotides. Ensembl annotates it as PDE9A antisense RNA 1. Its record names the gene PDE9A-AS1. The record is from Ensembl. NCBI's taxonomy places the organism in Eukaryota, Metazoa, Chordata, Mammalia, Primates, Hominidae.